GACGAACCGUGCGAACGUUAUUCGGAAUCACUGGGCUUAAAGCGCGUGUAGGCGGGAGGGUACGUCCGUCGUUGAAAGCCCCCGGCUCAACCGGGGAACGGGCGCGGAUACGACCUUCCUGGAGGGGCGUAGGGGGACCUGGAACUUCCGGUGGAGCGGUGAAAUGCGUUGAGAUCGGAAGGAACGCCCGUGGCGAAAGCGAGGUCCUGGACGCCUACUGACGCUGAGACGCGAAAGCCAGGGGAGCGAACGGG
RNAcentral lists this ribosomal RNA (254 nucleotides) under uncultured bacterium. RNAcentral describes it as "partial 16S ribosomal RNA". It matches the Rfam family "Bacterial small subunit ribosomal RNA", at positions 524 to 776 of the family's 1533-position model. The record is from RNAcentral.